AUCUUUGAAAUGAAAAUUGGUGCCCAAGGUUGGAGACGCACUUACCUCCAGCUCAUGCGGAAACCAUUAUGGUCUGUGGCCCGAAGUUCACACACGCUGACACACCGGGCCGGACUCCAUUCCUUUACCUAGGCCCAGGAGCCCAGGAAAACUGCAUCCAGCUGCCGGUUAUAGCUGUGACUGCAUAGUGGGAACAAUUGCAACCAGGUUGCAGGGGAAGCAGAUCCUGCCCCCAACCAGCUCACACUGGCCUCCUCCCUACUGGUCUACAAGCACAGUCCAGCCUGGGGCCUGGCACCAGCAAGCCAGCCUUGAGGAAAUGAAGAGAAGAGAUCUCACCAGAGAAGCCUCUCUGGUGAAGGCUGGAGGUCAGAAGUGCAUGUACCACUUUGACUUGGAUGAGAAUCCUUCCGUGCUGUGGGAAGAUUUCUCCAUCAGGAGCUAAGUUUCUGCUUCCACAGCUGCCAUUCCAAGGCCAACGGGGCUGUGUGAUGACCAGACAGAAAGAAUGUCACCCACCCCACCUCAGGCUCCUUCCCGCUUCAUUCUCCCUGCUGUUCCAGAGCCCUUGGCUCGGAGACUCAAUUCCAUGGCCUUCUGCAGCCUGCACAAGCCUGCAGACACCUCCCCUGGGCUCAGGCAAGAGUGGUCAGGCCUUUUGGACCUCAGGGUUCUGCCCAGGAAUAUCCUAGGACACUCGGACGGUGGCCUCGCACACUCCCCUCAUCUCCAGGACGAGUUGGCGGGACCCACCACAGGACUCUGUUAUGCUUCCUUCCACACACCUUGCACCGAGGUGUCAGCAGGAUGCCUUCAUCCAGCAACGACCCCCCGCAGAGCCACCCAACCCCCACCCGGGGCCACAGCGCAGUCCCUCCGGAGGGUCCUGUCUAAGGUGGGAACAGCAGGAAGAUCUGCCUCCCGCUCCCUCCCGUUUCCUUCGCCGCUCCUUUUGUUCUAUAUUUAAUUUUUUUGUUUUAAAUCCAGUUGAAGAGCGCCGGGUGAAUCACCGACGGUUAUUGAUUUAUUAUUUAUGGCGACUCACAUGCCGCUUUAAUCAUGCUCGCUGUCCUUUUCCUAGUCAACUCCGCUGAAGGACAACUCAAGGAAACCGUCUGGGUGCUGCAGAUGGGCCGCGUGCAUGUUUAUUGUGCGCUUGCUACCUGUUGGAAGGCAGGGAGCCUCUGAGUUUGGGGGUAGAAGAUGCUCUUGCUUUCCUGAGAUUGAAGGUCAGUCCUUGAGGAUUGGAGCAAGCUGGCGUGGUGUGUGUCUCACCGCUAAAGGGCCCCGGGUGCCUGUUUUCUGUUUUCUCUGGCUUCUUCCCUUCCCUUUCCUAUUGAAGACAUGGCCUGGUUUGAAGAAUAAGUGUCUAUGUCUCCCCAGCCUCCCCAAACUGCCAAAGUCAUUUGCUUUAGAAAUCAAACAGAUUAGGAUGGUCCGUGCUAGCCUACAGCAUUAAUGGAGGGCUGGCUGGUCUGGCAGGCAAGCCAUCUCCUUCAUGGGGGGCACUGCAUUAGUCCUGGGUUCUGUGGACAGACCCCAGGAAGGAGCCAGACCCAGGAAGUAGGUGAAACUCAACAGGAGACGGGUCUAACUGCCAGAGAGUCGCUGAGGGGCGCUGUGCAUCUGCUCUGCCUCGUUCUCCAGGGAACUGUGAGGACACCAGGGUUUGUGCUGCUCAGAUCCCGUGGCUGACAAAUGUUCUCCUACUCUGGGAACGCCCACCAUGUUUCUAGCCCUACCCCUUCACAUGCUCCCCAGACAGCUGUUCUCUACAGUUGCCCCUCCCCACGCGGCUACUGUCAUGGUGGGGUUGCCUGAGGCUGGCCCUUGAGGUAGAGGAUGUUUCUGGAAGGUGAAUCUGACGUGACUGUUAUCAUGUCGUGGUUAGGUGUGAGCACAGUGGCCCAGGCAUGUGUACAUGUGUGGCGAUGUUUGUGCUUGUCAGAGAGGUGAGAGGGACAUUGCCUUUCCAGGCUUUGUUUCUUACCACCCUGUCUCAUGACAUCACUAGCCUCGGGCAAGUCGGGUGCUGUCUUCAGGACUUGGUUCCUCCCUAUAACAUGGGUCAAGCUGGGAAGGUUGGGAAGGGCCAGUAGAUGGCAGAUGCCCAUCAAGCUGGAGUCCAGGUCCUGAUUGCCACACAGGACCUUUUCUAUGCAGCGACAUCUGAU
This is a long non-coding RNA of Mus musculus (house mouse), 2174 nucleotides long. RefSeq annotates it as predicted gene, 36434. The record is from RefSeq and is a predicted model, not a curated record. Lineage: Eukaryota; Metazoa; Chordata; Mammalia; Rodentia; Muridae. The transcript has 3 exons.